AACGAACGCUGGCGGCAGGCCUAACACAUGCAAGUCGAACGCUCGUAGCAAUACGAGAGUGGCAGACGGGUGAGUAACACGUGGGAACCUUCCCUAUGGUUCGGAAUAGCUCAGGGAAACUUGAGGUAAUACCGGAUAAGCCCUUACGGGGAAAGAUUUAUCGCCAUUGGAUGGGCCCGCGUCGGAUUAGCUAGUUGGUGAGGUAACGGCUCACCAAGGCGACGAUCCGUAGCUGGCUGAGAGGAUGAUCAGCCACACUGGGACUGAGACACGGCCCAGACUCCUACGGGAGGCAGCAGUGGGGAAUAUUGGACAAUGGGCGCAAGCCUGAUCCAGCCAUGCCGCGUGAGUGACGAAGGCCUUAGGGUUGUAAGCUCUUUGGCGGGAAGAUAAUGACGGUACCCGCAGAAUAAGCUCCGGCUAACUUCGUGCCAGCAGCAG
RNAcentral lists this ribosomal RNA (441 nucleotides) under uncultured bacterium. Its description in RNAcentral is "bacterial SSU rRNA". It matches the Rfam family "Bacterial small subunit ribosomal RNA", at positions 29 to 517 of the family's 1533-position model. The record is from RNAcentral.